This is a small nucleolar RNA of Onychomys torridus (southern grasshopper mouse), 130 nucleotides long. NCBI's taxonomy places the organism in Eukaryota, Metazoa, Chordata, Mammalia, Rodentia, Cricetidae. The record is from RefSeq and is a predicted model, not a curated record.
GUGCAAACUCGAUCACUAGCUCUGCACAAUGUGGCAGCGGCUAAGGGAACCAGGUUUGCUAGAGCAGUUGUGGUGACAGCAAUGUACCAACCUCAAACUAUUGAGGUGACCAUGCUGUCCCAGUACAGUC